UUUUUCUUUUUUUUUUUUUUUUUUCACGGAGGUUUGUUUAGGCUCUGAGGUGGUCUUCCCAAGCCAAGGCUCUGAGGCAGGAUCUUCCCUGUAGGAAGUAAGUGCUACCACUAUCCGUCUCAGCAGAGGAGGCAGUGGCCUUGGGAAGGCCUGUCUCAGGCUGGCUGGAAAGGGAGCUUGUUCUUGUCUCUGGCCUCAGCUCUGAGUAUAUAUUUGGAUUCGAAGAGGCGGUUAUUCUGCAGUGGAAGGGGUGCUGGGUGGGGAGAUAGGUCCACAGUGAACGUGUGGAGAUGGGCCUGGGCUCUCAGACAACCAUCUCUAGAGGCCCUUUUGAGAAAAAUGUUAUGAACUCUCUAAUCUCUGGGCCUUCUGACAACUUUGAAUAAAUGCCGCUUCCUGGAAUUGGCUCAGUGGUGGAGAAUUAAGCUUGCAUCCAUACUUGGAAAGGAGUGCUAGAAGAGAAACUGCCCUCCCUAAGCCUAACACGGUCAUGGCAGUGGUGGCCAGUGCAACUUACAAGGGAAAGGUGAAUGUGGGGACAAGAAUUGAGGCCGUAGGAGUUCCUGUUGUGGCUCAGCGGGUUAAGAACCCCACUAGCAUCCAUGAGGAGGCGGGUUUGAUCCCUGGUUUCACUCAGUGGGUUAAGGAUCUGGCAUUGCUGUGGCUGUGGUAUAGGGUUCAGCUGCAGCUCCAAUUCGACCCCUAUCCGGGAGCUUCCAUACGCUGCUGGUGCAGCACUCCAUGCCCCCCCCCCCAAAGAAUUGGGGUUGUAAUUCUCUAAUCACUCCUCCUGUGUGGAGCUUCCCCUUCCACUGCCAACCUUGGGGGGGUAAGGGUCUGAUUCUAUGAAGAAGAGCUUGGCAGACUUUCUUUGUUCCACAGAGGAGUCUUUGCGGGAGGAGAGAGUUAGAGAAUCAGAAACUUAAAGAAACACCAGCCUCUAAGAACCCAAGCACUCAGGAAAUCAUCAGUCUAACGUUCCCCAAGACCUCAGGCUAAAACAUGUCAGGCUCUCCUGGCUCAGGAGCCUGUUGUGUUUUUGUUUUUCCUGGUGCAUGCAGGGCAUGGUGACAGCCUGGGCAGAAUGCCACCCGUUGGCAUGAAAUGAAGAGAAAGUGGAUGAAAGGAAGCAAGACCAAGUGCGUGUAGUCCUUGGUCUUCUUCUGACAGCCAAUUGACUACUGUUUGCCUAACCUGCUGCACAGGAGGGAAGCCUGGGCUGGGCUAGAGGGAAGGAAAGACCCUUCCGAGGUCCAGAGUGAGAAGGAGGAAGCCACCUUUUGAGGCUGCCUCUCCGUUGGGAGUUGAACUGUGUCCUCUGAAAAGGUGGGUGGGCGUCCCAAUCUUUAUACCCUAGAACUUGACCCCAGGUGGAAAUGCUAGGGAUGGAGUAGGCACAGGUGGCUGUAGAAGUCCCACUAGGGGACCACAGAUAAAGAGAGAAACCUGGGGGAUGUUGGGAGACCACUGUAAGUUCAAGAAAGCCAUCAGAACAAGGCAGGCCUGCUCGACCAGUGGAGGUGCGAGAAUUGCCCCAGGUCAUUGGGUGGGGUUUGGGCUGAGGGCUGCAUUCAGAUUCAGACCUAGGGCAAUAGUUUGAAGACUACCCGCCCUUCAGCUGAUUUGAAUACACACCUUACUGGAUGCUAAGGAGGAGCUACUAAUCCCAGAGAGGAAGAGGCGGGCCUUUCCAACCCCCACUCCCCUUGGAUGAUAAAACUGUGGCCCACCUGAUGCUCGCUUCCUUGCCGGCCCACUUGCAUCUCUCACAAGCGUCCUAUCCUAAUAAAUUUGUUUCUUGCCCAUCACUUUGUCUCUCGCUGAAUUCCCGCGCGGAGGCAUAAAGAACCGGAACCUCAGUGAGUCCAGACACAGGGUGAGUAAUUCUAAUUUAACACAGUGGGUUUAAGCCCCCAUCUGGGUUUUGGCUGGGUUUGAGUCCCAAUCUGUGUUCUGGCUAGGUUCAGGCUGUGAAUGCUGUCAGUUUCAGAAAGGGGGUCUUUACUGAGACAGUCAAGCCAAAAUGAGGUUAUUAGGAUGGACCCUAACUCAGUAUGAGUGUGGACACAGAGAUAGGCACACCUAGGAAAGAUGACGUGAAGAAACACAGGGAGAAGAUGGUCACCUCCAAGCCAAGGAAUGCUGGCAGCUUCCUAGGAGAGGCCUGGGACAGAUGCUCCCUCACAGCUCUUGGAAGGAACCAACCCUAUCAGCAGCUUGAUCAUGGACUCGGAGCCUCCGGAAGCGUGAGACAACACACUUUUGGGGUUUUUAAGCCAGCCAGCUUGCGACGCUUUAUGAUGGCGGCCUUAGGAAAUGAAUACACCCUGCUAGCCAUUCCUUUGGGAAUGGGCCCAGGAAGUUGCUAUGACAUUUCCGGGGGAAAUUGUCCCAAACCCAAUUAUCUGAUUCAUUUUCAAAUUUAUUCCAAGGGGCGAUGGCAUCAUAGCCAAGCGGAAGGAGCUUGGAUCUGGAUAGAGGUGACAUUCGGGACCACGUGGACAUCUAACAACCAGUGGACAUCAUUACCACACUGAACAGGCACAGGGGACAGUGCCCGUCCUGGGGCAUUUCGGCUGCGCAUCGGGGCUGGAUCUGGAGACACAGUCCCCGGCCGGAAUCCAAGUUCUUCCUUGAUGCGCCUUCAGUCUCCUUCACCUGUGUUAAAUGAAGGUACUAAUACCUAUUUUGUACAGACUCUUAUGAUGAUAAAAUGAGAUAAUUAACAUAUAGGUUAUAUGCCUCACACAGCGCUGGGCACAAAAAAAGGAUUCUCAUAAAUGCUUUAGGAAAUCACUGGUCAAAUGUGGUUUCCCCAGCAAUGUGUAUGUUAAUCACAGGAAAUUUCCAUUAUGAAUCCUACACAGAGUGGGGAAUUACAGCUUCAUUUCAGGCACAUUUUCAAGAAUAGGUCAGAUACAUUUUGGAGGGUAAUUUAGAGACCUUUGCCUUCUUUGUUUUUCAGCAUUUUGAUUUUUUUUUUUUAAAUUGAGGUAAAGUUAACCUGACAUUAUAUUUGUUUUGGGUGUACAUCAGUGAUUUGCUAUUUAUAUAUUUUGCAAAAUGAUAGAGGGUCUUUCUGUGGCAGAGCCAUGGGAAUGUAGCAUGUGCAGUGAAAUGAUGGGAAUUCUUAUUUAUUAGACUCCAUAUCCAGGACUGCUAUGAGCCACCCAGUUUCUCCUUUCCGUGAAAGUGCUGGCUUUCCC
RNAcentral lists this long non-coding RNA (3206 nucleotides) under Sus scrofa (pig). RNAcentral's name for it is "lncRNA (ENSSSCG00005006673.1)". The record is from RNAcentral. Lineage: Eukaryota; Metazoa; Chordata; Mammalia; Artiodactyla; Suidae.